UACCGCCCCGGUGGCGCACCUGAAGGCGUUUCAACAGCCGCACCGCUGUUUUCGUCUUCCUGCUGCCUGUGCGUGGAUAUCGACGCGUGUGCAGCGCCGAGGACCGAUGUGGGAGCGGUCGCGCUGCACCCCUCGGGCGGCCGGAGAGCGCCUUUUAAUUCGGGUGUCCAGUCUGAACCUCCUCCUCCUCCUCCUCUCCGCAAGGUGGCGCUGCGGGACUGCGGCACGCGGCUCGCUCAUGGGGGGGGGGGGGCGGAUUCCCAGCAGGAUGGGGGGGUUCAAAUAUUGUCACCUCGUGCGACGUCAAUUGAACCACGGCGACAUGAUAUCACCUACAGCCUCAAUAUAAUCACCCUCACCUGCGGGACCAGCAGGUGCGGGAGAAAAGUAAAAGAGGCGCCUACAUCUUAAAUCUUCCAUAAAAUAAUAAAAAAAAUGCAACGAUUUGCUUUUAAGGGUGCGGCGCACAUCCAUCUGACGGAACAGCGAUCCCGGCGCCAUUCGCGGUGGCGAAUACUGAAGCUGCUCUCGCCAGGCGUGACGUGCCCCCCCGUCACACACGCAGACCCCGGGGCGUGGCGUGGCGUGGCGUGGCGGCGUUUCUGCAGGAAACCCUCGGCCGAGUCACACGGGGCAGGACCGGGGGAGAGCCGGGAGGUCAGUGCGUCGGAAAUCGCAGCAAAGAGACCCGUCUGACACCCGGACCAGCGGGGCCCGUUGUGUCUCCGGGGCUGUGUCUCUCCAAGACACGCGUGUGGGUGGGCCCUGCUCGUCCUCGUCACGCACCCCCCUCCCGUCUCUCCCGGGGGCGGGGCCGCGGUGACCUCAUGCGCGUUAUAAAUAGUCCCGCACGCCGAGGCUAAGAAUAGCCCGGUAUAAAAGGCGCUGAGCUCCGCGCUGAGCUCACUCCAGCACAGGGGCUGGGAGUCAGGAGUGAUCGGGACAGGAGGCGGCGGAUGAGUGCAGCUCUCUCGAAGUCUGUCUGUCCUCCCGGCCCGGGGCGCAGAGCUGCUUCUCCCCGGGGUGGGUGUGACCUCCUGCCGGCGCUGGAGGAGGAGGAGGAGGGGAGGUUAAUCGCUUCCUUCCUGCCCGACGGCCGCCAUGAAACCGACUGAAGCGUCUCUCCCCUCGCUGUCGCCCUGUCAAACAGCGGGCCUUUAUUUCUCCGUCUUCUCGCCCAGAUCAAGACACCAAGUAGUUUUAACUCCCGCCCGCCUCUGGAAGGAUCUUCCUGACCGCAUUGCAAUCGCCGCUCCAGUAGAUCGAUGCUUUUAAAUCUCGCCUUCUACUUAACAUGUUUUAAAUUCUU
Lepisosteus oculatus (spotted gar) is the source of this 1309-nucleotide long non-coding RNA. RefSeq lists it as uncharacterized. NCBI's taxonomy places the organism in Eukaryota, Metazoa, Chordata, Actinopteri, Semionotiformes, Lepisosteidae. The record is from RefSeq and is a predicted model, not a curated record.